This is a long non-coding RNA of Oncorhynchus keta (chum salmon), 328 nucleotides long. RefSeq lists it as uncharacterized. The record is from RefSeq and is a predicted model, not a curated record. The transcript has 3 exons. Lineage: Eukaryota; Metazoa; Chordata; Actinopteri; Salmoniformes; Salmonidae.
GGUAAGGGUUAAGGGCCAAGUCCCCUAGGAGGUAAGGGUUAAGGGCCAAGUCCCCUAGGAGGUAAGGGUUAAGGGCCAAGUCCCCUAGGAGGUAAGGGUUAAGGGCCAAGUCCCCUAGGAGGUAAGGGUUAAGGGCCAAGUCCCCUAGGAGGUAAGGGUUAAGGGCCAAGUCCCCUAGGAGGUAAGGGUUAAGGGCCAAGUCCCCUAGGAGGUAAGGGUUAAGGGCCAAGUCCCCUAGGAGGUAAGGGUUAAGGGCCAAGUCCCCUAGGAGGUAAGGGUUAAGGGCCUAGUCCCCUAGGAGGUAAGGGUUAAGGGCCUAGUGCCCUAG